This is a long non-coding RNA of Neofelis nebulosa (Clouded leopard), 837 nucleotides long. RefSeq lists it as uncharacterized. The record is from RefSeq and is a predicted model, not a curated record. NCBI's taxonomy places the organism in Eukaryota, Metazoa, Chordata, Mammalia, Carnivora, Felidae. The transcript has 2 exons.
UAAAGUGAACACUGGUAAUAAUACAACGAAACCAACCGCAGCAGAUCUUCAUUUAGUUAGUAGCAUGUAUUUCCUGAGUACUUGCAUGUGUGAGGCACUAAACCUCAUGCUGAGGGAUAUAAAAACAAAACAAAAAGCACGCCUGCUAUGAGACGCUUUCACUGGUAAAACUAACACAUAAGUAACUAUGAUACAAACGAAAAGAAACGUGUCAUAAGGACAUACAGAAAAGGCUGUAAAAUUCUGACAAUGAGAGGAAUCACUUCAGACAAGCUAGGGAAUGAUGUCAUAAAGGGCGUGGUAUUUCUGCUAAGAACUGAAGGCUCUGAUUGCACCAGCAAGGAGAAGGACUUAAAGUAAGAAAUAAGAAUGUGAGCAAAGUCAGGCGGCUUUAAGAUGUGACAGAAAAACAGCUCAUUUUGUCACGAGCACAUUAAAGGGAAUGAGAGUAGAUAACUAAAAGAAGGUUACGAACAUAGUACUGAAGAUUCUACACAGAUUUUACUUCGGGGCAAUGAAAAGCACCAGCCUUUUCAGUAGCUACCUCAAAUUUUAAGAUUUCUAUUAAAUAUGGAUGAAAGAAGAAAAGAAACGAACAAAGAAAAAGAAAAAAAGAAAAAAGAAAAUUCAGACCAAGUACUUCUUCAGUAUAAUCACCGAAAAGUAUAUAAUAGAGUUCAAAGCCUCUGAAGAACUAAAGCUAUAUGGAAAUCAUCUUAUAGGCUCUUUCCUGGAUAAUUGGAAAUAUUCUUUGUUCUAAACACAAUUCAUUUUCUUUGCACCAAUCAUCAGAGUACAAUACUUGUCAUGCUAUUAUUAAAUUCAGAAACACACAAA